This 72-nucleotide transfer RNA is filed under the name Camelus bactrianus (Bactrian camel). It matches the Rfam family "tRNA". Rfam says of the family: Transfer RNA (tRNA) molecules are approximately 80 nucleotides in length. Their secondary structure includes four short double-helical elements and three loops (D, anti-codon, and T loops). Lineage: Eukaryota; Metazoa; Chordata; Mammalia; Artiodactyla; Camelidae. RNAcentral also lists the same sequence under 2 other names. The record is from Rfam by way of RNAcentral.
GUGGGUAUAGCUCAGUGAUAGAGCAUGUGCUUAGCACACAUGAGGUCCUGGGUUCAAUCCCCAGUACCUCCA